This 1260-nucleotide ribosomal RNA is filed under the name Triticum aestivum (bread wheat). RNAcentral describes it as "partial small subunit ribosomal RNA". Lineage: Eukaryota; Viridiplantae; Streptophyta; Magnoliopsida; Poales; Poaceae. The record is from RNAcentral.
AUGAGAAGAGAAAACCCUGCUAUACCCAAUGACUAUUAUGUAACCAGUUUCCUGUCUGGACUGCAGCCUUAUAUCAGAAGUCAUGUGGAGUGUUUUAAACCACCAGAUAUGCAAACAGCAGUAUGGUAUGCCAGGAGAAUGGAAAAAGCUAGUGUUCCUGCCCAACCUAAGACUUAUGUUUCCCAGCCUAAAAGGCAAGUGGUGUUUGACCAAGCAAAGCCACCCCUAGCUGAUCCAACACAAAACAGAAACACAGUCAUCCAGCAGGCAAAACAGAACCAAGUCUGCUACAAAUGCAGAGAACCUUGGGUGCCUGGCCAUCGACAAGUAUGUCGAAUGAGCCAAAAAGCACAAAUACAGGCAUUACAAGUACAGGAAGAAGAAAAUGCAGAAAUCAUUUAUGUUACAGAUUUUGAAGAUCCUGAGUUGGACCAAGCUGCACCUCCUCCUGAUAAUGUUGUACUACAGGUCUCUAUGCAUGCUGCCAUGGGCAUUGGUGUAGUUAAGAACACAUUUAUAUUAACUGUUAAGGUGGGCAAAACAAUAGCUACUGCUCUGGUGGAUAGUGGUAGCACUUUCACAUUUGUGUCUCCUGACAUAGCUGCAAAACUACCUAUUGCACCUGUUCCCAACCAGAAGAUAGAAGUGCUAGUAGCUAGUGGAGGAGUCCUAUGGAGUGAGUUCACUUCUCACAAUUGCCCCUAUGAAAUACAAGGCAUACAGCUACAGGACACAUUCAGAGUUUUAAAGCUGAAGGGAUAUGAUAUCAUAUUGGGAGUAGAUUGGUUGAGAAAAUAUAGCCGUGUGCAAAUGGACUUCAUUAAAAUGGAGAUGAGAAUUAAUGCAACACCAACUACUCAGGCCACUUUUGUGGAUGAGACUGUUCCCUCCUCUUCCCCUGUGGAGAUCACAGAUGAUGCAGAAAAACUAAUGGAUCAAGCUGUCUGUGGAUUUUUCCUCCUGUCCACCUGUCACACUGUGACACAGGCUGCUAAUCACCCUAUCCCUGUGGAGCUCCAAGAACUCAUUCAGCAGUAUGACAAAUUAUUCAGUGCACCUACUGAAUUGCCUCCAAGCAGAGCUUGUGACCACAGAAUUCCACUAGUGGAAGGAGCUAAGGUUGUAAAUCAAAGACCAUACAGAGUACCCCAUCACCAGAAGGAAGCUCUAGAGAAAAUCAUUGCUGAGCUCCUCAAAGCUGGUCUCAUUAGGCCUAGUACUAGCACAUUUCUCUUCUCCUGUCCUCCUGGUCAAAAAUAA